GCAUGGCUGUCGUCAGCUCGUGUCGUGAGAUGUUGGGUUAAGUCCCGCAACGAGCGCAACCCUCAUCCUUAGUUACCAUCAGGUAAUGCUGGGGACUUUAAGGAAACUGCCAGUGAUAAACUGGAGGAAGGUGGGGAUGAUGUCAAGUCAUCAUGGCCCUUAUGGAGUGGGCUACACACGUGCUACAAUGGUGGCUACAAUGGGCUGCAAAGUCGCGAGGCUAAGCUAAUCCCUUAAAAGCCAUCUCAGUUCGGAUUGUACUCUGCAACUCGAGUGCAUGAAGUUGGAAUCGCUAGUAAUCGUGGAUCAGCACGCCACGGUGAAUACGUUCUCGGGUCUUGUACACACUGCCCGUCACGCCAUGGGAAU
RNAcentral lists this ribosomal RNA (369 nucleotides) under Wolbachia endosymbiont of Aedes albopictus. RNAcentral describes it as "bacterial SSU rRNA". It matches the Rfam family "Bacterial small subunit ribosomal RNA", at positions 1043 to 1411 of the family's 1533-position model. The record is from RNAcentral. Lineage: Bacteria; Pseudomonadati; Pseudomonadota; Alphaproteobacteria; Rickettsiales; Anaplasmataceae.